GACGAACGCUGGCGGCGUGCUUAACACAUGCAAGUCGAACGGGCCUUGUCCCCUUUUUUUUUGGGGGUGGGGUUAGUGGCGAACGGGUGAGUAACACGUGAGUAACCUGCCCCUCACUUCUGGAUAACCGCUUGAAAGGGUGGCUAAUACGGGGUGUUCUGGCCUGCUCGCAUGGGUGGGUUUGGAAAGAUUCGACCGGUUUGGUUGUUUUGGUGGGGGAUGGGCUCGCGGCCUAUCAGCUUGUUGGUGGGGUGAUGGCCUGCCAAGGCUUUGACGGGUAGCCGGCCUGGGAGGGUGGGCGGUCACACUGGGACUGAGACACGGCCCAGACUCCGACGGGAGGCAGCAGUGGGGAAUAUUGCACAAUGGGCGCAAGCCUGAUGCAGCGACGCCGCGUGAGGGAUGGAGGCCUUCGGGUUGUGAACCUCUUUCGCCAGUGAAGAAGGUCCUGCUCUUUGUGGUGGGGUUGACGGUAGCUGGGUUAAUGAAGCGCCGGCUAACUACGUG
RNAcentral lists this ribosomal RNA (507 nucleotides) under uncultured bacterium. RNAcentral's name for it is "partial 16S ribosomal RNA". It matches the Rfam family "Bacterial small subunit ribosomal RNA", at positions 28 to 507 of the family's 1533-position model. The record is from RNAcentral.